UACGGAGGGUGCAAGCGUUGUCCGGAUUUAUUGGGUUUAAAGGGUGCGUAGGCGGACAAUUAAGUCAGUGGUGAAAUACUUCGGCUCAACCGGAGAGGUGCCAUUGAUACUGGUUGUCUAGAGUACAGACGAGGUAGGCGGAAUUUAUGGUGUAGCGGUGAAAUGCAUAGAUACCAUAAAGAACACCGAUAGCGAAGGCAGCUUACUAGACUGUAACUGACGCUGAGGCACGAAAGCGUGGGUAGCGAACAGG
This 253-nucleotide ribosomal RNA is filed under the name uncultured bacterium. RNAcentral describes it as "partial 16S ribosomal RNA". It matches the Rfam family "Bacterial small subunit ribosomal RNA", at positions 524 to 776 of the family's 1533-position model. The record is from RNAcentral.